GAUGAAGAACGCAGCGAAAUGCGAUAAGUAAUGUGAAUUGCAGAAUUCAGUGAAUCAUCGAAUCUUUGAACGCACAUUGCGCCCGCCAGUAUUCUGGCGGGCAUGCCUGUCCGAGCGUCAUUUCAACCCUCAAGCCCCCGGGCUUGGUGUUGGAGAUCGGCGAGCCCCCCGGGGCGCGCCCUCUCCCAAAUAUAGUGGCGGUCCCGCUGUAGCUUCCUCUGCGUAGUAGCACACCUCGCACUGGGAAACAGCGUGGCCACGCCGUAAAACCCCCCACUUCUGAAAGGUUGACCUCGGAUCAGGUAGGAAUACCCGCUGAACUUAAGCAUAUCAAUAAGCGGAGGA
RNAcentral lists this unclassified non-coding RNA (345 nucleotides) under soil metagenome. RNAcentral's name for it is "partial contains 5.8S ribosomal RNA, internal transcribed spacer 2, and large subunit ribosomal RNA". The stretch from base 1 to 120 matches the Rfam family "5.8S ribosomal RNA", at positions 35 to 154 of the family's 154-position model. The record is from RNAcentral.